This 380-nucleotide ribosomal RNA is filed under the name uncultured archaeon. RNAcentral's name for it is "bacterial SSU rRNA". It matches the Rfam family "Archaeal small subunit ribosomal RNA", at positions 471 to 851 of the family's 1478-position model. The record is from RNAcentral.
UAACACCAGCGCCACGAGUGGGGAUCCUGUUAUUUGGCCUAAAGCGUCCGUAGCUGGUUAAGUAAAUCUCUUGUGAAAUUGUUCAGCUUAACUGAACAGCGUGCAGGAGAGACUGCUUGACUAGGGACUGGGAGGAGUUAGAGGUAUGCUGGGGGGAGCGGUAAAAUGCUAUAAUCCCCGGUGGACCACCUGUGGCGAAGGCGUCUAACUAGAACAGGUCCGACAGUGAGGGACGAAAGCCAGGGGAGCAAACCGGAUUAGAUACCCGAGUAGUCCUGGCUGUAAACUCUGCGAACUAGGUGUUGCACAUUUUUCGUGAAUGUGCAGUGUCGAAGCGAAGGCGUUAAGUUCGCCGCCUGGGAAGUACGGUCGCAAGACUG